CCUACGGGAGGCAGCAGUGGGGAAUAUUGGGCAAUGGGCGCAAGCCUGACCCAGCAACGCCGCGUGAAGGAAGAAGGCUUUCGGGUUGUAAACUUCUUUUCUCAGGGACGAAGCAAGUGACGGUACCUGAGGAAUAAGCCACGGCUAACUACGUGCCAGCAGCCGCGGUAAUACGGAGGUGGCAAGCGUUAUCCGGAUUUACUGGGUGUAAAGGGCGUGUAGGCGGGAAAGCAAGUCAGAUGUGAAAACCAUGGGCUCAACCUGUGGCCUUCAUUUGAAACUGUUGUUCUUGAGUACUGGAGAGGCAGACGGAAUUCCUAGUGUAGCGGUGAAAUGCGUAGAAAUUAGGAGGAACACCAGGGGCGAAGGCGGUCUGCUGGACAGCAACUGACGCUGAGGCGCGAAAGCGUGGGGAGCAAACAGGAUUAGAUACCCUGGUAGUC
RNAcentral lists this ribosomal RNA (443 nucleotides) under uncultured bacterium. Its description in RNAcentral is "partial 16S ribosomal RNA". It matches the Rfam family "Bacterial small subunit ribosomal RNA", at positions 338 to 795 of the family's 1533-position model. The record is from RNAcentral.